CGGGUAACGGGGUGUUAGGGCACGACACCGGAGAGGGAGCCUGAGAAACGGCUACCACAUCCAAGGAAGGCAGCAGGCGCGCAAAUUACCCAAUCCCGACACGGGGAGGUAGUGACAAUAAAUAACAAUACAGGGUUCUUUUGGAUCUUGUAAUUGGAAUGAGUACAAUUUAAAUCUCUUAACGAGGAACAAUUGGAGGGCAAGUCUGGUGCCAGCAGCCGCGGUAAUUCCAGCUCCAAUAGCGUAUAUUAAAGUUGUUGCAGUUAAAAAGCUCGUAGUUGAACUUCGGGGUCUACCCAUUAGUCAGGCUUAAUUGUCUGUACUGGUGAGAUGGAUCUCUACCUUCUGAGGAACUUUCAUGCCAUUUAUUUGGUGUGAUGGGAAAUCAGGACUGUUACUUUGAAAAAAUUAGAGUGUUUAAAGCAGACUAUCGUCUGAAUACAUUAGCAUGGAAUAAUGAAAUAGGACGGACUGAUUCUAUUUCGUUGGUUUCUAGGAUCACCGUAAUGAUUAAUAGGGAUAGUUGGGGGCAUUAGUAUUCAAUUGUCAGAGGUGAAAUUCUUGGAUUUAUUGAAGACUAACUACUGCGAAAGCAUUUGCCAAGGAUGUUUUCAUUAAUCAAGAACGAAAGUUAGGGGGAUCGAAGACGAUCAGAUACCGUCGUACUCUUAACCAUAAACUAUGCCGACUAGGGAUCGGACGAAGUUAAUUUUAUAAUGACGCGUUCGGCACCUUACGG
RNAcentral lists this ribosomal RNA (739 nucleotides) under uncultured fungus. Its description in RNAcentral is "SSU rRNA". It matches the Rfam family "Eukaryotic small subunit ribosomal RNA", at positions 356 to 1093 of the family's 1831-position model. Lineage: Eukaryota; Fungi. The record is from RNAcentral.